RNAcentral lists this ribosomal RNA (1108 nucleotides) under uncultured bacterium. Its description in RNAcentral is "bacterial SSU rRNA". It matches the Rfam family "Bacterial small subunit ribosomal RNA", at positions 8 to 1098 of the family's 1533-position model. The record is from RNAcentral.
AGAGUUUGAUCAUGGCUCAGAUUGAACGCUGGCGGCAGGCUUAACACAUGUAAGUCGAGCGGGGAAGGGUAGCUUGCUACCUGACCUAGCGGCGGACGGGUGAGUAAUGCUUAGGAAUCUGCCUAUUAGUGGGGGACAACAUUCCGAAAGGAAUGCUAAUACCGCAUACGCCCUACGGGGGAAAGCAGGGGAUCUUCGGACCUUGCGCUAAUAGAUGAGCCUAAGUCAGAUUAGCUAGUUGGUGGGGUAAAGGCCUACCAAGGCGACGAUCUGUAGCGGGUCUGAGAGGAUGAUCCGCCACACUGGGACUGAGACACGGCCCAGACUCCUACGGGAGGCAGCAGUGGGGAAUAUUGGACAAUGGGCGAAAGCCUGAUCCAGCCAUGCCGCGUGUGUGAAGAAGGCCUUUUGGUUGUAAAGCACUUUAAGCGAGGAGGAGGCUACUGAGAUUAAUACUCUUGGAUAGUGGACGUUACUCGCAGAAUAAGCACCGGCUAACUCUGUGCCAGCAGCCGCGGUAAUACAGAGGGUGCGAGCGUUAAUCGGAUUUACUGGGCGUAAAGCGUGCGUAGGCGGCUUUUUAAGUCGGAUGUGAAAUCCCUGAGCUUAACUUAGGAAUUGCAUUCGAUACUGGGAAGCUAGAGUAUGGGAGAGGAUGGUAGAAUUCCAGGUGUAGCGGUGAAAUGCGUAGAGAUCUGGAGGAAUACCGAUGGCGAAGGCAGCCAUCUGGCCUAAUACUGACGCUGAGGUACGAAAGCAUGGGGAGCAAACAGGAUUAGAUACCCUGGUAGUCCAUGCCGUAAACGAUGUCUACUAGCCGUUGGGGCCUUUGAGGCUUUAGUGGCGCAGCUAACGCGAUAAGUAGACCGCCUGGGGAGUACGGUCGCAAGACUAAACUCAAAUGAAUUGACGGGGGCCCGCACAAGCGGUGGAGCAUGUGGUUUUAUUCGAUGCAACGCGUAGAACCUUACCUGGUCUUGACAUAGUAAGACCUUUCCAGAGAUGGAUUGGCUGCCUUCGGGGAACUUACAUACCAGUGCCUGCAUGGCUGUCGUCAGCUCGUGUUCGUGGAGAUUGUUUGGGUUAAGCUCCCGGCCAUACGGAGGCG